This 73-nucleotide transfer RNA is filed under the name bacterium. RNAcentral describes it as "tRNA-Val". It matches the Rfam family "tRNA". Rfam says of the family: Transfer RNA (tRNA) molecules are approximately 80 nucleotides in length. Their secondary structure includes four short double-helical elements and three loops (D, anti-codon, and T loops). Further hydrogen bonds mediate the characteristic L-shaped molecular structure. tRNAs have two regions of fundamental functional importance: the anti-codon, which is responsible for specific mRNA codon recognition, and the 3' end, to which the tRNAs corresponding amino acid is attached (by aminoacyl-tRNA synthetases). tRNAs cope with the degeneracy of the genetic code in two manners: having more than one tRNA (with a specific anti-codon) for a particular amino acid; and 'wobble' base-pairing, i.e. permitting non-standard base-pairing at the 3rd anti-codon position. RNAcentral also lists the same sequence under 3 other names. The record is from RNAcentral.
GGGCGAUUAGCUCAGGGGAUAGAGCGUUUGCUUGACAUGCAAAAGGUCAGUGGUUCAAUUCCACUAUCGCCCA